RNAcentral lists this unclassified non-coding RNA (240 nucleotides) under soil metagenome. RNAcentral's name for it is "partial contains 5.8S ribosomal RNA, internal transcribed spacer 2, and large subunit ribosomal RNA". The record is from RNAcentral.
AACAUCGCGCACCUGCGGGAACCUGCGGAGGGAUCAUUAACACAAACUGUGGUUGCAGAUGUGCACAUCGCCCUGCCCUGUGGCGGGGAUCAACGAUUGCUGCUGCUGCUCCACAUUUGGAUCCAUAUCCAUUUACCCCUGUGAACUGUUAAAGUCUUUCCAUAGUGAAAUUUAACACCUUGGAAUGUACUCUGACUGAACACGAGAGCCCCGGCGCGCGUUGCGUCUUAAUUGAUGCAU